CUGGACGCGAUGGGCGAUGCGCGAUGAGCGAUGCGUGACGAGAUUGUGAAAAUUUAUUUUCCUCAAUUCACACUAAACGCGAUUUGACGCGAUUGAACGCAACGAGCGACGUAACGAUCGGAAAAUUGGCCGCAUUGUGUUUAUUAGUACAAAGUGUGUGUGUUUAUUAAUAAAAAGAGAUCUGAAGUAUUGCAUUGAUAGAGGAUAUACGUAAAAUAUAAUUAUGUACCGGUAAGAACUUUAAACUUACAAAAUAAAGUAAUUAACCUAAAAACAGUAACAUAUUUUAUAAGAACCCAGACGUUAUAUAACCUCAAAGUGGGGUUAAAGGCGUUAAACUCUUACCAAUCGAUGUGAAUAAUUAAAAAAAUAUAACUUAAAAAAACAUAAAUGCCGCAUAUGUUAUUGUAUAAAUAUAGUACGCUAUGGAAUCAACUACUAGUAGAAAACGUUUUCUAAUGCUGAUGUCUCUAUAUGCGCAAAGAGAAUAGUUUAGUAUGGAUUACGGUGGGAGACGUUUUAUUUUAUUAACUGAUUGGUAUAUGAAACAUUGGGAACAACAAGACGACUUUAAUCAAAUGGUACGUCAACCACGACGAUGGUGGAUUCGCCCGAUAAAUCAACGCCGGAAUGACCAAGGAGAUGGUGAACAUCUAUUAUAAUUUAUGAGAUGCGGCUUCUGGAUGUGGAAUCACAUUUUAAGUAUUUUGCCGUAUGACGCUCGACGUUUUCGACGAAUUACUUACAAUUGUUGGACCAGUAAUACAGAAACCCAGGAAAUAGCACCGCUUCAGCAAUUAUUGCAGAUACGUGCGAAUGCCUAUGGAAUGUGCUGCAAAAUGAAAUGUUUAUACCAUCAGAGGACAAUUGGAAGGAAAUCGCAAAGGAGUUUUAUACGCGUUGGAAUUUUUCACAUUGUAUAGGUGAGAUAGAUGGGAAGCAUGUUGUUACAGGCAUCACCAAAAUCCGGAUCAACGUUUUAUUAACUAUAAGGGGCGUCACAGCAUAAAUUUAAUGGCAGUGGCUUGAGCAUCAUGCCGAUUUUUCCUUAUCGACAUUGGAGCUGAAGGUCGUCAUAGUGACGGUGGAGUUUUUAAAAAUUCUCUAAUGGGAAGGCUGUUUGAUGACUGACAACAAAAUUCAUGUACCUGCAUCUUCUCCAAUUGUUGAGAACGAAGAUCCAAUACCGUAUGUGUUGGUAGCAGAUGAGGCUUUUCAACUGACUAAUUAUACAAUGAGACCAUAUCCAGGCAAAACGCUGACUGAUGAUCAGAGAAUUUAUAAUUACCGUUUAAGUCGAGCUCGGAGAGUCAUUGAAAAUGCUUUUGGCGUAAUGGCGUAGUGGCACGAUGGAGAAUAUUUAGUGGACCAAUAAAUACAUCAUUACAAACGACUGAAAAAAAUUGUUAAAGCUUGUGUGGAAACUACAUAAUUUCUUAAUGAAUAAACCGCAAUACUGCAUGACAGGUUUCGCUGACUCCAUACAGUCAGAUGGGACAGUAAAUCUUGGUGAAUGGCGGCAAGAAAUACAAAACUCCGAAUUGCAGUCGAUGAGAGGAAUAGGGAGCAAUACUCAUGCUCGGAACGCAGCCAUUGUAAGGGAAAUCUUUAAAAACUACUUUCUAAGUACUGGAUCUGUUCCAUGGCAAUGGGACUUAAAUACAUAUAAUUAUUAAAUUAUUGUAAUAUUAAUUUAUUUUAAUAUUAAGUUAUUUUAUAUUUUUUAUAUUAAACAUUUUAAAAUUAAUAAAAACAAC
Formica exsecta is the source of this 1757-nucleotide RNA transcript. RefSeq lists it as uncharacterized. The record is from RefSeq and is a predicted model, not a curated record. The transcript is spliced from 3 exons. Lineage: Eukaryota; Metazoa; Arthropoda; Insecta; Hymenoptera; Formicidae.